AUUGAACGCUGGCGGCAGGCCUAACACAUGCAAGUCGAGCGGAGCGGCGGACGGGCGAGUAAUGCAUAGGAAUCUGCCUGGUAGUGGGGGAUAACGUCCGGACACGGGCGCGAAUACCGCAUACUAUCAGCUGAGCCUAGGGUGGAUGAGCUAGUUGGUUGGGUAAAGGCCUACCAAGGCGACGAUCCCUAGCUGGUCUGAGAGGCUGACCAGCAACACUGGAACUGAGACACGGUCCAGACUCCUACGGGAGGCAGCAGUGGGGAAUAGUGCGCAAUGGGCGCAAGCCUGAUGGAGCAACGCCGCGUGUGUGAAGAAGGCCUUCGGGUUGUAAAGUACUUUCAUCGGGGAGGCGUUACCCGCAGAAGAAGCCCCGGCUAACUCCGUGCCAGCAGCCGCGGUAAUAC
This 407-nucleotide ribosomal RNA is filed under the name uncultured bacterium. RNAcentral's name for it is "partial 16S ribosomal RNA". It matches the Rfam family "Bacterial small subunit ribosomal RNA", at positions 29 to 526 of the family's 1533-position model. The record is from RNAcentral.